GACGAACGCUGGCGGCGUGCUUAACACAUGCAAGUCGAACGGAAAGGCCCUGCUUUUGUGGGGUGCUCGAGUGGCGAACGGGUGAGUAACACGUGAGUAACCUGCCCUUGACUUUGGGAUAACUUCAGGAAACUGGGGCUAAUACCGGAUAGGAGCUCCUGCUGCAUGGGGGGGGUUGGAAAGUUUCGGCGGUUGGGGAUGGACUCGCGGCUUAUCAGCUUGUUGGUGGGGUAGUGGCUUACCAAGGCUUUGACGGGUAGCCGGCCUGAGAGGGUGACCGGCCACAUUGGGACUGAGAUACGGCGCAGACGCCUACGGGAGGCAGCAGUGGGGAAUAUUGCACAAUGGGCGGAAGCCUGAUGCAGCAACGCCGCGUGCGUGAUGACGGCCUUCGGGUGGUAAACCGCUUUCGCCUGUGACGAAGCGUGAGUGACGGUAAUGGGUAAAGAAGCACCGGCUAACUACGUG
This 468-nucleotide ribosomal RNA is filed under the name uncultured bacterium. RNAcentral describes it as "partial 16S ribosomal RNA". It matches the Rfam family "Bacterial small subunit ribosomal RNA", at positions 28 to 507 of the family's 1533-position model. The record is from RNAcentral.